UCAAAAGCGGUUGCGCGGAAGAGUAAGGAGCCAUCCCAUCAGUUAGUAAGUAGGGUAAGGGCCUACUUAGACGAAGACGGGUACGGGGAAUUGUGGUUUGAUUCCGGAGAGGGAGCCUGAGAGACGGCUACCAGGUCCAAGGACAGCAGCAGGCGCGAAAAUUACCGAAGCCUCCGGUGAGGGCGGUAGUAAGGAGACGUGGAAACGAUGAGGAGGUAAAGAAUGCUCUGGUAACAGGAGGUCAAGACUGGUGCCAGCAUCCGCGGUAAUACCAGCUCCUGGAGUGUCUAUGAUGAUUGCUGCAGUUAAAGAGUUCGUAGUCGGGCUGCGUGACUGGCGUGAAAGGCCUUCUUUCAAGGGGGGCAGAGCGCUAGGAAAGCAGAGGAUAAGGAGCGUUUUGGGGCCAGGUUAUUAAGCGACGAGAGGUGAAAUUUGAUGACUCGCUUAGGAGGAACAGAGGCGAAAGCGCUGGCCAGGGGCGAAUCCGAUGAUAAAGGACGUAGGCUAGAGGAUCGAAGACGAUUAGAGACCGUUGUAGUUCUAGCAGUAAACGAUGCCGAUGCCGUGGUGCGUGCGCGCGACGCGGAGGAGAAAUUGAGUAGGGCCCUGGGGAGAGUACACGCGCAAGCGAGAAAUUUAAAGGAAAUUGACGGAAGAACACCACAAGGAGUGGAGUGUGCGGCUUAAUUUGACUCAACGCGGGACAGCUUACCAGGCCCGACGACCGCAGGAGUGUUGUACACGAUAGGUCGAAGAGUGGUGCAUGGCCGUUAACGACAAGUGGGGUGACCUUUGGGUUAAGUCCGGGAAGUAGUGAGACCCCUGCUGUUUUUUGGACAGGACAGGUGCUCAAAGCACAGGAAGGAAGGGUCAAGAACAGGUCAGUGAUGCCCUUAGAUGGUCUGGGCUGCACGCGCACUACAGUGGUCACAGAAAGGAUUUUCGAGAGAUAAUGGUGAUCGAGAGGGAAUGAGCUUUGCAAGAGGCUCAGGAACGAGGAAUUGCUAGUAAUCGCGGGCUCAUUAAGACGCGAUGAAUACGUCCCUGUUCUUUGUACACACCGCCCGUCGUUAUCGAAGAUGGAGUCAGGCGCGAACAAGCGAGAGCGAGUGAGUGCAGGAUUCUAGAUGUGAUACAAGUCGUAACAAGGUAGCUGUAGGAGAACCUGUAGCUGGAUCAGAGCGAUGGUAGAGAUUUGGUUUUGAUGAGUAUGCCCUGCGCAAGGGAUCUUUUGGCUCGCUGUGCGAGGAAGGGCGCAGCUGCGGGCGAAAUGUGCCGGAGCGGCAGCGGUGAUGGCACGUGCCCGAAGAUGCGCGAGCAGGCAGACCCCUUUGAAUUAAGCAUAUGAGUAGAGGGAGGAAAAGAAACUAACAAGGAUUCCCGCAGUAGCGGCGAGCGAAGAGGGAAGAGCCCGGAGUGCAAUCGCAGCGAUGCGAGAUGUCAGGAGUGCGCGGAACCGUUCUGGAAAGACGGGCCGGAGAGGGUGAGAGCCCCGUGGACGCGUGCGUUGGUGUUGGAGUAGCGGUGCUUGGUAGUGCACCGUGAAUGGGUGGCAGCGUGCAUCCAAGGCUAAAUACUGCAGCGAGACCGAUAGUGGAUAAGUAGAGUGAUCGAAGAAGGAAUAGUUUGAAAAGGUGAAAUUGCGCAGGGAGCCGAGCGGCUCGGCCCCGUCUUGAAACACGGACCAAGGAGUGCAAGUACGCGGCGAGUCGGGGGCGGUGAGUGCCCUGGGCGGAGCGAAGGCGAGGGAGCCGCGUGCCUGCGACCCGAUAGACUUGUGAACUAUGCCUGGAGGCUGCGAAGGCUGACGAAAGACAGCUGGAGGC
RNAcentral lists this ribosomal RNA (1826 nucleotides) under Heterosporis sutherlandae. RNAcentral describes it as "eukaryotic LSU rRNA". The stretch from base 1 to 1182 matches the Rfam family "Microsporidia small subunit ribosomal RNA", at positions 144 to 1311 of the family's 1311-position model. Lineage: Eukaryota; Fungi; Microsporidia; Pleistophoridae. The record is from RNAcentral.